CCAACCGCUCUCAGGCAAUGCGCGUGCCUUCGCUCUGGGCUCCCUGCCUCGCGCUCUAACCGCUCUUGAAGCUUUACUCCGGGAAGGCGCAUGCGCAAGCGCAGAGGCCUGGUUGACGGUUGGGGCCAACAUGGCGGUUGCAGAAUUCCUUACUGAAACCAGAGAAGCCCGAGGAACACUUCUCGUGUCUGAAAAGCGUCGUCCAGCGCCUCAGAGAAGUAGCUCCUGUCACUGAAAAGAAACUUGAAAUGUAAGCAAAAGUAUCAGCCACCAUUCAUGUUCUUAAAUACACUCAUUUGUCAGUGAUGUCAGCAACUUUCCAAAAUUGAAUUCUACCAUUGCUGACGUGAGAUGGAGCGAGAGCCAAGAUGAACAUGGGAAAGAAAACGUCCCAUGGAUGAGAUAAUGACAACUUUUGACCUAGAGAGCCUAGACUUUUUUAUGUUGCUUCUCCCAACUUUAUUCUCAAUGAUGAAAGAUUCCAAGUUUAACCACAAGUGACUUUAACCACAAGUGUCUCUGUGUUUCUAACUUUGGUUAUGUUCAAGAUUAUGUUUAAUAAUCAUGACCAUUUUAAAAGCUGAAACUGUCAAAUUUCAGUCCUUCAGACUAAUUAUUUUUUCAGUGAGACUAUCCCAAGUAGUUUAAUCUCACUACAUGGGAGCCAGAGAGCUGCUAGGGAGGGAAGACAUCAAGUGGAAAAUAGGAAAAGCAAAAGCCAGUUUGGUCUCCCAUUAGAAGAAGACAGCCAGGGCUCAAAAGCACACUUGCUACUACAUAGUACUUUAUUAUCCACACGGGAAGUAAUCUAUUAACACUGCAACAACACACACACACAUCCUGUGUGAUUCCAUUCACGUACAGUCUUAGGAAAUGGAAGCAAAUGUACAGUGACUGAAAGCAUAUUAGUAAAUCUGUGUCUGGGGUGGGGAGGGCCAGGCCUGGAAGAAGGGGUACAAAAGCACCGGAGGCUUUGGGGGUGAUAGGCAAUUUUUAAUCUUACUUAUG
This 1008-nucleotide long non-coding RNA is filed under the name Heterocephalus glaber (naked mole-rat). RNAcentral describes it as "lncRNA (ENSHGLG00000034554.1)". Lineage: Eukaryota; Metazoa; Chordata; Mammalia; Rodentia; Bathyergidae. The record is from RNAcentral.